RNAcentral lists this ribosomal RNA (468 nucleotides) under uncultured bacterium. RNAcentral's name for it is "partial 16S ribosomal RNA". It matches the Rfam family "Bacterial small subunit ribosomal RNA", at positions 28 to 507 of the family's 1533-position model. The record is from RNAcentral.
GACGAACGCUGGCGGCGUGCUUAACACAUGCCAGUCGAACGGAAAGGCCCUGCUUUUGUGGGGUGCUCGAGUGUCGAACGGGUGAGUAACACGUGAGUAACCUGCCCUUGACUUUGGGAUAACUUCAGGAAACUGGGGCUAAUACCGGAUAGGAGCUCCUGCUGCAUGGUGUGGGUUGGAAAGUUUCGGCGGUUGGGGAUGGACUCGCGGCUUAUCAGCUUGUUGGUGGGGUAGUGGCUUACCAAGGCUUUGACGGGUAGCCGGCCUGAGAGGGUGUCCGGCCACAGUGGGACUGAGGUAAGGCCCAGACUCAUACGGGAGGCAGCAGUGGGGAAUAUUGCACAAUGGGCGGAAGCCUGAUGCAGCAACGCCGCGUGCGGGAUGACGGCCUUCGGGUUGUAAACCGCUUUCGCCUGUGACGAAGCGUGAGUGACGGUAAUGGGUAAAGAAGCACCGGCUAACUACGUG